AGGGGAAUCUCUGGGUCAGGGAUCUCUGGUGAACGUGCAUUCACCCAUUGAUCAAAACACAGACGCCAUCAAUCAGCCAGCAGAGGUCGUAAUUGCAUCAGUUAUAAGGAGUCUCUCUCCAGCUCCCUCCAUGGAUGAACAGCAGCUAAACGUUGUUCAUAUAGCCGCCCAGUCCAGCCGGAUGGCAGAGUGAUUCUUACAUUCUAAUUGAUUUGUGGGUUCUCUUCUGGUUGGUUCUCUGAUGUCUGGGCUGAAAGCGACUCAGUGAUCUCAGUUUCAGCAGACAGAGCCGCUACCAUUUCGUCUCACUCGAGUGACUGAUCUAUAACGAGUAAAUCUAAGUUACCUUGCUGCUUGUGGUUCUUUGAAAGCCAUGUUUGAUAAAUUGUGAUGCUGAGAUGGUGAAAGCAUGCGACGGCGUGUGCAUUCAAACACUUUGUGAUAAGCUAAUUUAGUGCCGGAAGUUGGAGUGGGUGGAACCAUGGACAGAAUCAGCUUCAUUAGGAGAAAAUUCGAAGAUUUGCUGGUGAGGGUUAAAGCACUUCAAAGACCACCGCUGAGCUGAACUCUGUAGUGCUGCUUUGUUUCUUCUCUGGAGAAGACAUGUUUCUGUGUGAUAAACAGUGCUGUUUGUUUUUAAAACACUGUAAAACUGUAAAAAAAAAUAUGAAUGUUUACAUUUUUGAAUUUUUGAUAAUAAUGGCUGAUAUCUGCAUACCUCAGUAUUCAGAUACUUACUAAACACAUGGCAUACACUGAAAAUGUAUGAAAUAUGGCUGAAAACGAGUAAACGUUUAUCCUAAUUGUUGAGUUCUGGCAGUCUGACUGAGAAGUCUAUAUUUGGUGAAUGCCAGGAGAACGUUACCUGCCUGAUUGCAUUGUGAUGACUGUUUGGUGAAGCAGGGAUAAUGAUGUGGUGUUGUUUUUCACAAGUUGGGAAAGCUAAUGUGACAUGACACAAGUGCGUAGACUAAAUGAUCAUUCUACUUUUCAGUUAUUCAUAUACAAACACUAGAAAGAAAAAUGAAACAACCUGAACUUUAGAAUGAUUAAGAAAACUUGGAAACAUAGAGGCAAUGAACUGAACAUAUGCUACAGUCACAAAUAGACAACAAACGAGGUAAUGAAACAGAAGUACUUUUACAAUCACUAAUCAAAGGAACAUGAGUAACAGGUAUGAACAACAGACAGAAAAUCACAAGCACAGUGGCAGUGAUAAAGACAUGCAAACAAAACCAAAAUGCAU
Long non-coding RNA from Trichomycterus rosablanca, 1246 nucleotides. RefSeq lists it as uncharacterized. NCBI's taxonomy places the organism in Eukaryota, Metazoa, Chordata, Actinopteri, Siluriformes, Trichomycteridae. The transcript has 3 exons. The record is from RefSeq and is a predicted model, not a curated record.